Molecule: long non-coding RNA, 1619 nt
Filed under: Fukomys damarensis (Damara mole-rat)
Lineage: Eukaryota; Metazoa; Chordata; Mammalia; Rodentia; Bathyergidae
Description: lncRNA (ENSFDAG00000030524.1)
Source: RNAcentral
UGUCCACGUGGCUCUUCUGGCCAAACCAUUAAGCCCUGAUUCCAUGAGCUUUUUCUCAUGCAGGACCUUCUGCUCCCACUGGGACUCAAAGGGUUGAAAAUCUGAGGCUGGGAUUUAAACUCAGUGGUGUUGCCACCUACCUCACAAGCAAGGUACUGAGUUCGAUUUCCGGUACCAAAAAAAAAAAAAUCUGGUCAAGAUCACACAGCCAGUAAGUAGUGGAUACAAGAUUUGAACCCAGUUCUUUGAUGACACCCCCACAAGGAAAGCUGGUCCACAUGAAGAUGUGGGAGCCCUGGACAAGUGAGUGACCAGAGGCAGCACAGUUUUGACCGUUCUGUCUUCCUUCUGAUCCACCAUCUGCUUACAAACACCACCAGCUGCUGGGAAGUAAACCUUAAAUUCACACCGCUCAUGUACCAGGAACGUGUGAAUGAGGAGUUCGGAGUAGCUGGCGAUGCUGUAAUUAGGUCCACAUCGCUUAAGUUUCUGCUGCGUGUCUCAUUACUCGGUCAUUUUCACGGCUGAGGGUCCUGUCUCCCCUCAGACUGGAGCUGCACACCAAGGACCCGGGAUCCAUCUGCAUAUUGGCCCUGGAGGACUAGGGAAGUCUCUGCCAUCGGACUGGUCUCCUCCUUCCCCAUUAUACUACUUGACGGGGCUGAGCACCGCCAUCAGAUUGGGCGCACCCUGAGGACAAGGACGCCUCCCUCCUCUGAUGGGGCUUUGCAGGUGAGACCUCCUAAGAAGAGGAGGAGACACAGAUGGGGACACAGUGGGCGUAGCCACCUGUAGCCAGGAGAUGCUGAAUCUACCAGCACCAUGACCUUGGACUUCUGGCCUCCAGAACGUUGAGACAUCAUUGCAGCCUGGCCACCUGGCCCGCGGUACUUGGCUACAGCAGACUGCCCAAGGCGCACGAGCAAGGGCAGACAACACAGAACAACCACCCCCUUCGAGUCCCAGGAGGGAUAUUUAAGGUGCACAGAAAGAUUAUUUUCCUGAAAAACCUUGUUGAAGAAAAGUUGUGAAAUAAUAAUCUGUGAUCCCAGAACUCUGGGAGAGGUUGAGGAGGGAAGACUGAAAGUUCUAGCCCAGCCUGGGCCAUUUAGAAACACAGCAAGGCUCGGGCCGGGGACUGAGCUCAGUGGUGCCGCUGCCUGCCUCACAAGGGCAAGGUCCUGAGUUCGAUCCCGGGUACAAAAAAAGGAAGGAAGGAAAGAAGAGAAAAAAGAAACGUAGCAAGACUCUAUCUCAAAAUUAAAAACGGAAAGGGCUAGGGAUGUAGCCCAGUGUGGAGGCCCUGGAUUCAAACCCCAGUACUACAAAGGAAAAAAAAAGCCACAGCCAGCAGUAACCAACCGCCUCUGCACACAGCCUCGGCCAAAGGCACUGGAGCUUCCUGGCCUGACAGACAGCUUCCGGGGGCACCUACACACUCGCCCCCAGGACCCAGCUGGUGACCUACGCCUAACCCCUGCCCCGGCUGCCUCCCCGCCCUGACACAUGCGCUCUCGGGGAUCUUGACUCACCUCCCUAAGAAGUGACUUGAAUCCAACCCCUUUCUCCAAAUCUGCUUCUGGGGAACCUCAGUCCCAGCCACUUCCUGUCACCAAGCA